CCUACGGGAGACAGCAGUGAGGAAUAUUGGUCAAUGGGCGAGAGCCUGAACCAGCAAAGUAGCGUGAAGGAUGACUGCCCUACGGGUUGUAAACUUCUUUUAUAAAGGAAUAAAGUGAGGCACGUGUGCCUUUUUGUAUGUACUUUAUGAAUAAGGAUCGGCUAACUCCGUGCCAGCAGCCGCGGUAAUACGGAGGAUCCGAGCGUUAUCCGGAUUUAUUGGGUUUAAAGGGAGCGUAGAUGGGUUGUUAAGUCAGUUGUGAAAGUUUGCGGCUCAACCGUAAAAUUGCAAGUGAUACUGGCAGUCUUGAGUACAGUUGAGGUAAGCGGAAUUCGUGGUGUAGCGGUGAAAUGCGUAGAUAUCACGAAGAACUCCGAUUGCGAAGGCAGCUUACUAAACUGCCACUGACAUUGAUGCUCGAAAGUGUGGGGAGCAAACAGGAUUAGAUACCCUGGUAGUC
Molecule: ribosomal RNA, 460 nt
Filed under: uncultured bacterium
Lineage: Bacteria
Description: partial 16S ribosomal RNA
Rfam family: Bacterial small subunit ribosomal RNA
Source: RNAcentral